AAGGUACGGGAGGCAGCAGUGGGGAAUAUUGCGCAAUGGGGGCAACCCUGACGCAGCCAUGCCGCGUGUCUGAAGAAGGCCUUCGGGUUGUAAAGGACUUUUGUCAGGGAAGAAAAGGUUGUUGCUAAUAUCGACAGCUGAUGACGGUACCUGAAGAAUAAGCACCGGCUAACUACGUGCCAGCAGCCGCGGUAAUCCUU
RNAcentral lists this ribosomal RNA (200 nucleotides) under uncultured bacterium. RNAcentral describes it as "partial 16S ribosomal RNA". It matches the Rfam family "Bacterial small subunit ribosomal RNA", at positions 332 to 528 of the family's 1533-position model. The record is from RNAcentral.